Molecule: long non-coding RNA, 1633 nt
Organism: Misgurnus anguillicaudatus (oriental weatherfish)
Lineage: Eukaryota; Metazoa; Chordata; Actinopteri; Cypriniformes; Cobitidae
Source: RefSeq, a predicted model, not a curated record
CAGGGUUGGGUAGAGGGUGGACGGGGGAGUCGAGAACAUUUAGACUCCUGUGUUCUGUGUUCAUCAUCAAUUACACAAGAGAUCUCUCGAUGCUGCAGACCAUUCCCACACGAUGACGAACACUACAGACAAUAACACAGUCAAAGAGUGCAUUUUGUAUCCUGCAACUAUAUAUAUUAAAACAUACGCAGUCUUGCGGUGGAAAGAGCAUAUGACUUGCUGUCUUCCACUUGGGGCACCUCCCACCUCUGCACCUCUUUUGUUUUUGUGGGAGGGGCAGGUGCAUGCAGUUCUCCUCUGUGAUUGGCUGGCCGGACUGACUGGCGCACGUCACAUUACGAUACCUGAAUCCUUUCCCACAGGAAGCAGAGCACUGCAAGAAGAGGAGAAACAAAGUUUAACACUUGUUAAUCAUAACCCACAACUAACACUAGCAAAUGUGGGCUUUUAUGUUUGUGUGCUAGUGUCAGAUAAUAUUUUGGGCAAUUUAUGGAAAAUUCAGUGUAAAUUUUUUUUAUAUUUAUUACAGUUUAAAUCAAAAUUUAAUUAAUGAUCUAGGUCAGAAGUUCUGGACUUUUAUAAUGCAAUGUUUAAAAAACAAAACAAAACAAUGAAUGCUAAAUAGUAGCAGGUAACUAUUUAUACUAUUUAAGUAUUAUAUAGAUUUAUCCUGUCAUAAAUUGUAUUUAUUGUAUACGUAAAAAAGAAAAUAUUGAAUCAUAAAGAAUGGCUAUCACAAAAUAAUUGUCAAGCUUUUCCGGAUCUGGGUUUAUGGAGCACACAAGGAUUUAAACCUUUGACUAUAAUGCUCAGCACUUCAGGGGAGCUGAAGGGAGGGGAGCGGUUUGGGCCCCAGGAUGGGAGAGGAACGAAUAAUCAAAGGGCCUGAUCGAGAGAGGAUGAAUGUGAGGCGACAAGUCUGAGGUUAAACGAGUGCAUUACCCAGCAUGCUUACAUAGAAUACAGGAACUACGAGAGCACAGCUCCCUAACUGGAUAAUGCGCUCCUGUGAAUAACUUUUGAAAGUGUGUCAUGGGUGUAUUUAAGUUUGAAAGCAGAACAAAAACCACUGAACAAUCAUUUAAGUUUGAACUUUUAAAUCAAUAUAUAUUUGUUAUAAAUAAUUACAGCACCAAUAUAUACAAUUGGUUCAAAUGAAUACAAAUUGUACAAAAUUAAAAAAGUAUAAACAAAUAUACAUUCCUUUUCAAAACAAAACCACCAUUUAACACUGUUUUAAUGAUCCACUUUGUGAGAAUAUAAGUGUAAGCCUAAAUAAGUUUCAGUCUUGUAAGAUUUUUAUCAGCCAAGAUUUACAGAUGCAUUGCAUAUGAACUGUGCAGAUUGCAGAUGUGUACUUGUUUAUGUGCUGGUGAGUGGACAGGCUGUCUGUUUAGUUUACUGUCAGCAAGAUACUGCUGGGGGUUCGAUUUUACACAAGACCCUCUCAUAUACAGCAUCAUUUAAAUUGCAUUAAGUCGCUCUUAUCAAAAUAUUGGCACUUUCUAAAUCAAUUAUGCAGAAACAAAGUUGUGAACCACCAAUAACAUAUGAGCUUUUUAGUUUGUGCAUUAGUUGAGGGAAAUGUUAAGUAUGUUAAAACAAAAUGUACAGAAAAUUCAACAAUUGUAUA